This 2240-nucleotide long non-coding RNA is filed under the name Equus caballus (horse). RNAcentral describes it as "lncRNA (ENSECAG00000043991.1)". Lineage: Eukaryota; Metazoa; Chordata; Mammalia; Perissodactyla; Equidae. The record is from RNAcentral.
GAAUUUCUGAAGCAGCUUUUGCAGAGAAACGCCUGUUUGCUAACAAAUCAGGAAGUAAAUUUUGUAAACCUGGAAAGUUGGGCCUUGGGGCAGCUGGGGAACCUGCCCGUGGAGCCGGUCUUGUCAUCAUGGUGGAGCCCAUCUUGUCAUCAUGGUGUGUGAAUCUGUUAUUACAUCAGGAGGACCACGCCAUGAGGCAGGCUCUGGUGCCUUGAGAUUCAGAUCCUGGCCUCACGAAGCACAUCUGUAUGACCUCAGGGAACAUCUGUAAAAUGAGGAAUUGUUGCCAAGACCAAUUAAAGACAAGAUCUCAUAUGUGGGUGUGCUUUGUGAACUGCUAAACCUCAUGCAAAUAUAAGAUGGAACUCUUAUUACACAUAAAGGACAGCGUGUGAUCUAAGAGACGGCAGCACAAAACCAUCCAAAUAUCUCUAAGGAUGGCCAGGGUCCUAAACCUUUUGGAUACUCCAACUGGCAGGGGCCAAAUGCAAACACCUCCGUGUGGCAAAUGGAGAGACAGAAGUAAUGAUGGAAGACUGUAGACCAAACUUAGGCCAAAAAUUAGUUCCCAGAAUCCAUGUCCAACAUGGCCUUAGAACGUCUCUGAUGCCACAACGGAAAGAAGAGCCGGCCCAUCCAAGAGGGUAUGGACUUGCCUAGCAGGGUAGGAAGGAGGCAACACUUUGAAGUGCCCACCUGUGCCAGUCUCCAUGCCAGGUGCUUUGUAUAUGUUAUGUUUUCAUCCCUUUAAUAACCAUGGGAACCUGACAACCAACAAAUCAGAGGUUUGAAGGUGGGGGUAACAUGUUAAGGACACGAUGCCAGAAAGGGGCAGGGCCUUGACUUUCUCCAGCUCAGCUGACUGCCUCCUGCAAGGUGGGGGGCUUGCUCUGAAGUCGCACGGGCUGGCCUCUUGAACCUGUUUCUAGCCAGGAGUUCAAACUGUGGGAAAGAGCGAAAGCCUUUGUCUCUUGAAGCAAAGCCUGUUUCUUUAAUUCUGGGAUUGACUUGAGGCCCUUUCUGGGGUUAAUAUGCUGGAGGGCCUAAUGUGGUUGAUCAGAGAAAGUUGCAGGCUGCAGAGGCCAGGAUUGCAAGCCUUAGCGCAGAAAGAAACCUCUAGCUGAGGACAAAGGGACACAGAGGAGAGGCCUUCCUAUAAGCCCCAGAAUGACAGUGGUUUCCUUAAGGAGUUCCAGAGUAGGACCUGGGAACUGAGUGUUGGCAACACUGCCAGGCCAGGAGAAGGUUGUGUGUAUGUGUGUGUGUACGUGUGUGCGUGCAGUGAUUGAUCUGGGGUCAGACGUACCACGGAACUUCUUGAUUUAUUUGCAGCCAGAGAAGACUCCAUCCAUCCAGAUCUAUGUAAACAUGUUUCAAGAGUGACGUGGUCCUUCAGUAAAGGUGCACCACCCCUCAUCCUGAUGGAUGAUGCGAAGAAGUCCUCCACGUGAGGUGUGGGCUCAAUGAGAAGGGAGCCGAGUCUGGAAGAAACCAAGGCAUGGCCCAAGCGUAACCUCUUUUCCUGUGGGGAAGGUUUUCCCAUCCAUGAAAUGGGAAUGAUGACAGCACUUGAUAAUGCCAGCCAAGCUUUUAGUAGAGUGACCUGAGCUGACAGCCAUGGCUCUUCCAAAAUUUUCUGUAUGUUCGUGUUAUUUUUACUCAUUUUUUAGAAGUGUCAUAUGUUUGUGGGGAAUGAAAUACUUGGUCACCAUGUUGUGGCCUUCCUCUUCCUUCCUGUUGGUGCUUUCUGUUCUGAUGUUAAUAGAGCGGCCUGACUCUCUUCUAAUUAGGGCUUGACUAUGUUCUUUCAUCCUUUUACUGUCAACUUUUCUGUUGAAUAUUUUAGGCAUGUUUCUUAGAAAUAGCUCUAAACCAGAUCUUAAAAUACAAUCUGACAAUCUGUCUUUCAACCAGGAAGUUUAGUUCAUGUUUAUUUUUUGUACUCUUUCAGAUAUGUGGACUUGCUUUUCUACCUGAAUUUUUAAUUUCCAGUUUAGCCCUUUUUCAAUGCUUAUUUCUCCUUUCUUGCCAUAUUUUUUGGGGGGCAGUGGUUAUUGCUUUUUAUUCCAAUCUCCCCUCCCCUACUGGUUACAUCCUCUGUUACAUACUCUGUUUCUGCUCUUUUAGCAGUUACUAUUGAAAUUUUACCACGAAUGUUUUCCUUUUCAGACUCUAAAGGUAAUAAAUAUCUAAACUUCCUUCCCCCAAAAUAUGUAGAUCUAUGAGUGCUUUUAACUUCA